GGGGAUUUGGCUCAGAGGUAGAGCGCUUGCCUAGCAAGCACAAGGCCCUGGGUUCGGUGCCCAGCUCCG
RNAcentral lists this transfer RNA (69 nucleotides) under Rattus norvegicus (Norway rat). It matches the Rfam family "tRNA". Rfam says of the family: Transfer RNA (tRNA) molecules are approximately 80 nucleotides in length. Their secondary structure includes four short double-helical elements and three loops (D, anti-codon, and T loops). Lineage: Eukaryota; Metazoa; Chordata; Mammalia; Rodentia; Muridae. The record is from Rfam by way of RNAcentral.